UAUAAACCAAGCUAGACUUGAUAGAUAACGCUUUUUCACGUCUUAUGUUUUGCUCAUAUAACGUCUUUAUCAUUUUCGUGUCACAUACGACAUUACCGAUUAAGUAUAGUAGUGACUAUAGAGAUGUAAAGACAGAGUGCGUUAGCGAGCUGAAAAAGCGAUAUAGCAAAUGUUGACCAUGAGGAUGUCUCGAAUGCAGCACUUUCGAAAAUGGACUUGCAACCGGUAGAACUUACAAGAACGCGACGACGGCUGGCAUGGUCAUGCAGGCGCCGACAAUGAAAAACGUCCCUGGAAACGUUUUCAUGGUUGCAGCGUAAAUGGAACUGUACAUAGGCCCAUAGAUGAGAGGCAUCAGAGAUUCGCAGACACCAAGCAACGAAUUCACCUUGCCUGCAAAUCAACGAAAAUUCAGAUACAGUAUUCCGGACAACGCCAUUCCGAUCGGUACACCAAGCGACAAGAAAACAUUUGCAGCACCAAUUCGAAGCGUCCUGGACUCUACCGACGUGAUAUCCGCGAUAUAACUGAAAACACC
This is a long non-coding RNA of Bombus impatiens (common eastern bumble bee), 538 nucleotides long. RefSeq lists it as uncharacterized. NCBI's taxonomy places the organism in Eukaryota, Metazoa, Arthropoda, Insecta, Hymenoptera, Apidae. The transcript is spliced from 4 exons. The record is from RefSeq and is a predicted model, not a curated record.